GUACCGACUCUUAUGAAGUACUCACCUCGGGAGUCCGCACUACGCAACCAUCGACUUGGUUCUGGACAGGGUACUCAGAGUCAUGGAUUCAAAAGAAUGUUUGACGCUUAUGGAAAAUACUUUCCGAUCGUCAACUCCAUCUAGAGAACCUAUUCUGAGCGAGGUUCUCGUAUCGAUUCUUACGAAGUAUUCACCUCGGGAAUC
This 204-nucleotide long non-coding RNA is filed under the name Lathyrus oleraceus (garden pea). Its description in RNAcentral is "Pisum sativum (pea) long non-coding RNA (PSAT_LNC030396)". Lineage: Eukaryota; Viridiplantae; Streptophyta; Magnoliopsida; Fabales; Fabaceae. The record is from RNAcentral.